UUGUAGAACCCUAAGAGUUUGUUUGCAUUGUUUUUAAAGCUCUAGUUAGGCUGUAUCAGGAGACUUCUGUGGUUUGGAAGAGCAUUUCAUGAAAUUCCAUCUGUUAAGACUUACGUUGCAGAGUGGCAUCAUGGGGGUGCCGUGCAUCCGUAGGAGGAAGGACUUGGGGUGCUUUAGGUCUUUGGAAAUAUGCCAGGAAUUAUUGUAACUCCGUACUCCGCUCCGCUUCCUUUCUAGUUUGAGACGUGGAUGCUUACGAUUGUUUAACCGUGUCCAUCCACCAUGAAAUGGGGCCCUCGUCAAAGGCUUAAACAAAUUGGCCUAAUCUUGGACUUUAACCUUCAGAAACAAUAGCCAGAAUAAGCCUAAACUUCACAAGUAGCUUAUCAAGUAUUUCGUUAUCGUUAUGUGAGGCUCAGUGAUACAGAGGAAUGGGCUGGAAAGAGAUGGGGGGGGGGGACUCACCUCCGUUCUUACGUUCUCAGCACUCAUUUACUGUAUUUGCAUAGCCCACGGCAUUCCAGACAACCUGUUCUCACAGAGAUCGGUCCAGUGUUGUCGCAGUUUAAAAACAAAUCUGACCACAUUCCCAUUCUUCUGAAUUGAUUCAGAGAUGGGAAAAGACAAGGCGCUAGGACGCGGUCCUCUUCGCUGAAGCGAAGUACAAGGGUAGCCUGCUCGUCUCCGGAAUCCCUGGGCUUUGGAGCCCAGUUGUAAAUAGCAUUGACUCUAGCAGAGCUGGAGCUAGGAAACGGCUGAUAAAAGGACUGGGACUUAAGCGGCUGAAAAAGAAAAAUUCACCUUAUGGGCCUGGCUGAGACAGUAAGACUGCUGUUUUGGAUACUUCUGCCUUCAAUGCUAUGGAGACCUGGUUUAAACUUAUCUCAAUAGGCUUCCACUUGGCUGGCAGACACAUCUAAGCCUCAGUAGCUGACUGCAACCUGCUCUAAAUGGGCCUGGGCCCUGGACUUCCUGAAAGCUGAUGUGGACCGCCAGUCCAGCUGAUGUGAACACUCCCUGCUCCUUCUACAAAGUCGGAUGAGUGCCCUAUUGCCUAAAUGUCCUUCCCCCCCACCUUUGGCUAGCCUUUCAACCUGCUUGGGCCUGGAUAACAGCACCCCAGUGUCAGCUUGAAGUAGUUGCAGAAAGAAACACGUCAUCCCAUGCCCCCUGCCCAAAAUAGAUUGAAAGACUGAGACAAGUGGGAACUCCCCGGCAUGGGGGACAGGAUAACUGUCUAUAGUGCCUGUUCAUGCCUCCUUAAAACCAAGGGCAAGUAGGACCCAAGAUUGAGUCCUGUAAUCAGUGCUUGUGAAGGGGGAAGUGUGGGGGCCAGCCAUAAGCUAAGUAUGGGCAGGUCACCCAAAGGAAGUUCUUUACUUCCAACCAUUGUCACCUGCCAGUGUGGAACUCGGCCAUCGAUAAAUUUAAUAAGAGGCCCGAAUCUUAGUAGUUUACCCUGAAGCAAUACCUGAUUGCAGAAAGAACCACAAACUGAGAUUACCUAGCACCACCCCAAAACAGACCGUCCAAAGGAAAGGCCUAACAUUCCAACUGCUGUAGAUAGGACUACCUGUCAGUACACACUCACCAGGACACCCCUAGACAAAUGUCAGCCGGUCAGGGGUCCUAAAUCUCAGAAACCCCUCACCCCCACCUUUACUACUAUAAAAACCCAAUUCUA
Molecule: long non-coding RNA, 1684 nt
Organism: Alexandromys fortis (reed vole)
Lineage: Eukaryota; Metazoa; Chordata; Mammalia; Rodentia; Cricetidae
Exons: 3
Source: RefSeq, a predicted model, not a curated record